ACUUUCGUAUCUUCCUGUACCGGAGCUGCAGCGGGGGCAGGUGGGGCCUGAGCUGCUGCUGGGGCUGCUGGAGGAGCCUGACUAGGUGGAGGUACAGCAGCCUGAGGUUGUGCAGGUGCUGGUCCUGCAGCCUGAGGUAGUUGAGUAGGUGCCUGUGCUGGAGCACUGAGUGAAGGAGCUGGAGGCUCGGCUGAUGGGAAUAGCUCUGAAUUCUGUACAGGUUCUUUCACUCUGGGAGACCUGAGCUGUGAAAUUGCUGCUCUGCCUUCCUCACUUUCUUCAUCUAG
This 287-nucleotide long non-coding RNA is filed under the name Gallus gallus (chicken). Lineage: Eukaryota; Metazoa; Chordata; Aves; Galliformes; Phasianidae. The record is from RNAcentral.